Molecule: ribosomal RNA, 991 nt
Filed under: Lactiplantibacillus plantarum
Lineage: Bacteria; Bacillati; Bacillota; Bacilli; Lactobacillales; Lactobacillaceae
Description: bacterial SSU rRNA
Rfam family: Bacterial small subunit ribosomal RNA
Source: RNAcentral
AGAGUUUGAUCCUGGCUCAGCGGCCGGGGGGGUGCUAUACAUGCAGUCGAACGAACUCUGGUAUUGAUUGGUGCUUGCAUCAUGAUUUACAUUUGAGUGAGUGGCGAACUGGUGAGUAACACGUGGGAAACCUGCCCAGAAGCGGGGGAUAACACCUGGAAACAGAUGCUAAUACCGCAUAACAACUUGGACCGCAUGGUCCGAGUUUGAAAGAUGGCUUCGGCUAUCACUUUUGGAUGGUCCCGCGGCGUAUUAGCUAGAUGGUGGGGUAACGGCUCACCAUGGCAAUGAUACGUAGCCGACCUGAGAGGGUAAUCGGCCACAUUGGGACUGAGACACGGCCCAAACUCCUACGGGAGGCAGCAGUAGGGAAUCUUCCACAAUGGACGAAAGUCUGAUGGAGCAACGCCGCGUGAGUGAAGAAGGGUUUCGGCUCGUAAAACUCUGUUGUUAAAGAAGAACAUAUCUGAGAGUAACUGUUCAGGUAUUGACGGUAUUUAACCAGAAAGCCACGGCUAACUACGUGCCAGCAGCCGCGGUAAUACGUAGGUGGCAAGCGUUGUCCGGAUUUAUUGGGCGUAAAGCGAGCGCAGGCGGUUUUUUAAGUCUGAUGUGAAAGCCUUCGGCUCAACCGAAGAAGUGCAUCGGAAACUGGGAAACUUGAGUGCAGAAGAGGACAGUGGAACUCCAUGUGUAGCGGUGAAAUGCGUAUAUAUAUGGAAGAACACCAGUGGCGAAGGCGGCUGUCUGGUCUGUAACUGACGCUGACGCUCGAAAGUAUGGGUAGCAAACAGGAUUAGAUACCCUGGUAGUCCAUACCGUACACGAUGAAUGCUAAGUGUUGGAGGGUUUCCGCCCUUCACUGCUGCAGCUAACGCAUUAAGCAUUCCGCCUGGGGAGUACUGCCGCAAGGCUGAAACUCAAAGGAAUUGACGGGGGCCCGCACAAGCGGUGGAGCAUGUGGUUUAAUUCGAAGCUACGCGAAGAAUCU